UACGGAGGGGGUUAGCGUUGUUCGGAAUUACUGGGCGUAAAGCGCGCGUAGGCGGACCAGAAAGUUGGGGGUGAAAUCCCGGGGCUCAACCUCGGAACUGCCUCCAAAACUGCUAGUCUAGAGUUCGAGAGAGGUGAGUGGAAUUCCGAGUGUAGAGGUGAAAUUCGUAGAUAUUCGGAGGAACACCAGUGGCGAAGGCGGCUCACUGGCUCGAUACUGACGCUGAGGUGCGAAAGUGUGGGGAGCAAACAGG
Molecule: ribosomal RNA, 253 nt
Filed under: uncultured bacterium
Lineage: Bacteria
Description: partial 16S ribosomal RNA
Rfam family: Bacterial small subunit ribosomal RNA
Source: RNAcentral